UCUCCUCCUCUCGUCCCACAGCCGCCACCCCCGCCGUCUCAAUCUCUCGAUCCCCGACCACCGCCGCCGCUGUCCUCCGUCCUCUCCCCCAACCCCGGCCACCGGCGACCCCUCCCCUCCCCUUCUCUCCCACGACCGCGGUCGGAUCCGCGCUCCCUCCUCGCUCGUGACCUAGACCUAGCCGCAUGGCACGGCCAUGGCCAUGGCGGCGGCCAGAUCCACCCCCUCCCCUGCUCCGUUCCCUCGACGCCCGGCGGUCAUUCUCCCUUAGGCUACCCGCCCCCUUCUUCCUCCCGCAGCAGCUCACCCGCAGCCUUCCCCGUGGCUCUAGGGUUUUGGGGGCGACGGCGCCUCCAUUGCCGGCACGGCUCCGGCGACUCUACAGCCUCCCCCGCCAUCUACCGCGCUGAGACAGCCACGUCUCCGACUUGCCGCUUCCCCAAUGGCUGCUGCUGGACCCGAUCCCUCCUCGUUGCCUGGAUGCUUCCUCGACUCUCCCUCCUCCCCAACAAGGCCGCCGUCGGACACCUUCUUCCCCGACAGCGCCGGCUGCAGAUCCACUCCUCCACUUUCUUCUCACGGUUAUCCACAGCAUAUAUGACUCAGAUCUGACGUUUUUGUUGUGUGUCUGGUUUUCCAGGAUAUGGGUGGUGCAGUGGCCGCAAGAACACGCUCGGCAGCGUCUAGGCCGGGUCGACUAGGGCGGCUGACAGCGGUGGCUACUUCCUUACAAGGACUACAAGCUCGCCCACGACUACACGACCCUCCAAGUCCCAUCUGCAUGCCCGCUCCCUCCUCCCUACCUCCUGCAGGUCGGGUUACCCAAUGUUGGCAAAUCAACUUUCUUUAACAUAGUAACAAAGGUGGGAUCCCGCGCUGUCAACUCCAGGCUUGCGAUUAAGAAGAUAAAGGUUGAGAAGGACCCCAACAAGCCCACGCGCCCCCGAGCGCUUUCUUCAUCUUCAUCUGAGUCCUAGUCUUGGUUCCUGGUUCGAUUCGUGUUGCUUCUGUGGUGUGGCGUCACAUCCUGACCAAGGAUUUGGUGCGUGUUUCGUCUUUGCAGGGACAACUUCAGGAAGGAGUACAAGGAGAAGCACCCCGACGUCAAGCAGGUCUCCGUGAUUGGCAAGGCCGGUGGUGAGAAGUGGAAGUCCAUGAGUGAUGCUCAGGUGCUCUGCUCUUGCACACAUCUGGCGCCGUCUCCGGCGCGGUGGUGCUUCUUGAGGCGACUGGCGUGAUGGCGGCUGUGUACGGCGGCGACCACAAGCCCUCCGGUGAGUCGGUUCCAUCUUCUAGCCCUAGCUCCUGCUUUUCUGCUCCUAUAGCAUGUUCUGUUGGUUUAGAACACUGGCAGCAGUAGCCUACCAUGUAUGCAUACUAACCAGCAGGAGUUCAAUCACCUUGUGUACACUAGCAGCUUGCUUACACAGUUGUCACUUUUGCUUGUGGUAGCCAUUAUCUCACUGAAUCAUGUCUGUGUGUACUAAUCAUCAGUUAAUAGUAUUUGGCUUCUACGUGAUGGUCUGGGACUAAUUUAUGGUGAUGUGGAUAUACUUUGUGAUUUAAAGUUACUAAUUUAUGGUCUGGUGUCAUAUUAUGGUCUAAUAUUUUUUGUUUUGACUCUUUCUCCGGUGCGAGGAAAGCUAUGAGUAGACGUCGAUGAUGCCUACUGGCUUGGCUGCUACCGUGAUGCAUGCGCCGGUCAAGCAAGCACACAUGCAUAUACGUACAUGUUAGGAUAGUAGCAGAUAUUCCGAAAAUGCAUAGGAGCUCUCGGGUGCUACGCCCCCCUAUAUUCAAAAAUAAUUUAGUAAUUCAAAAAAGUCAAAAAAUCCCGGAACUUUUUACGGAAUCCAACAUGACCAGGUAUUGCACUCGUAUAAAAAGAUUUAAAUUGGAAAUCACUUUUAUUGUAUCUGGGGUCAAAGAUUUUCCAAAAAAUGCUAGAUACAAGUACUAUUCAUGCUAAAUUGUCGUCAUAAAUUUGCUUUUUUUGCCCUGAAGUCAACGAGAAUUAUUGCUUGACCAAACAUUUUAUAUGAGUAUAGUACCUACUCAUAUUUGGUUCAAAAAUAUAUCCAAGAUUUUUUUUUGGCUUUUUUUGAAUUAUUAAAUUAUUUUUGAAUAUAGGGGGUGGAGCACCCGAGUGCUCCUAAUCCGCUUCCCAGAUAUUCCCUCUAUUCAUGUUAUAUUCCUGUGUAAAUGUAUUUCUGAGAUGAUUUUGUUGUGUUAUGUAAACCUGGGAGAUGUGUUAUGUGAUGUGAUAUGAUGGAUGAUUUGAAUU
Long non-coding RNA from Triticum dicoccoides, 2284 nucleotides. RefSeq lists it as uncharacterized. NCBI's taxonomy places the organism in Eukaryota, Viridiplantae, Streptophyta, Magnoliopsida, Poales, Poaceae. The record is from RefSeq and is a predicted model, not a curated record. The transcript is spliced from 5 exons.